RNAcentral lists this ribosomal RNA (497 nucleotides) under uncultured bacterium. Its description in RNAcentral is "partial 16S ribosomal RNA". It matches the Rfam family "Bacterial small subunit ribosomal RNA", at positions 28 to 507 of the family's 1533-position model. The record is from RNAcentral.
GAUGAACGCUGGCGGCGUGCCUAAUACAUGCAAGUCGAGCGAACGGACGAGAAUCUUGCUUCUCUGAUGUUAGCGGCGGACGGGGGAGGAACACGUGGAUAACCUACCUAUAAGACUGGGAUAACGUCGGGAAACCGGAGCUAAUACCGGAUAAUAUUUUGAACCGCAUGGUGCAAAAGGGAAAGACGGUCUUGCUGUCACUUGUAGAUGGAUCCGCGCUGCAUUAGCUAGUUGGUAAGGUAACGGCUUACCACGGCAACGAUGCAUAGCCGACCUGAGAGGGUGAUCGGCCACACUGGAACUGAGACACGGUCCAGACCCCUACGGGAGGCAGCAGUAGGGAAUCUUCCGCAAUGGGCGAAAGCCUGACGGAGCAACGCCGCGUGAGUGAUGAAGGUCUUCGGAUCGUAAAACUCUGUUAUUAGGGAAGAACAUAUGUGUAAGUAACUGUGCACAUCUUGACGGUACCUAAUCAGAAAGCCACGGCUAACUACGUG